This 782-nucleotide long non-coding RNA is filed under the name Nicotiana benthamiana. Its description in RNAcentral is "long non-coding RNA (NBEN_LNC011347)". The record is from RNAcentral. Lineage: Eukaryota; Viridiplantae; Streptophyta; Magnoliopsida; Solanales; Solanaceae.
CUUUUUGGCAAAGGGGUAACCCAGAAACACACAAGAGUGGGCUCUAGGUUUCAGCUUAUCCCUUUGAGGGAUAGGGACAUCAGCAUAAGCAAGGCAUCCAAAUGUCCUCAAAUGAGAAUAGGAUGGAGCUUUGCCAUACAAUUUCAUGGGGAGACUUAUGGUGAAGGAUUCUGGAAGGUAUUUUGUUAAGAAGAUAGGUGGUAGUUAACAGACAAUCCCCCCAAAAAGACACAGGUAGGCCAGAUUGAAAAAGCAGGGCUCUACAUGUUUCAAGAGGUGUUCUGUGUUUUAUUUCAACAACACCAUUCUGUUGAGGUGAAUGAGGGCAGGAGGUUUGAUGAAUAAUCCCCUAGCUACUAAAAAAGGAUAUUCCCUCAGUGCUGGAUCCCAAUUCUAUGGCAUUGUCACUUCUGACAGUCUGAAUGAGGGCAGGAGGUUUGAUGAAUAAUCCACUGGCUACUAAAAAAGGAUAUGCCCUCAAUGCUGGAUCCCAGUUCUAAGGCAUUGUCACUUCUAACAAUCUGAACCACAGUGUUAAACUGAGUUUUAACAAAAGAGAUGAAAGACUUAAGCAGGGAAAAAGCAUAGCUUUUAGAUCCCAUUAAGUGUGUCCAGGUUGCCCUAGAAAAAUCAUCAACUAUAGUAAGGAAGUAUUUGUAACCAGAAGAAGUAGAAGUGUGGCAAGGCCCCCAAGUAUCCACAUGUAUUAGUUGAAAUGAUCUAGUAGUACUGAUACUGCUGUCAUGAAAAGGGAGUCUAGUCUGUUUGGCCAUAGGGCAGAC